UACGAAGGGUGCUAGCGUUGUUCGGAAUCACUGGGCGUAAAGCGCGCGUAGGCGGCUUCUCAAGUCAGGGGUGAAAUCCUUGGGCUCAACCCAAGAAUUGCCUUUGAAACUGUGAAGCUGGAGUGUCGGAGGGGAUAGCGGAAUUCCUAAUGUAGAGGUGAAAUUCGUAGAUAUUAGGAGGAACACCGGUGGCGAAGGCGGCUAUCUGGACGACAACUGACGCUGAGGCGCGAAAGUGUGGGGAUCAAACAGG
Molecule: ribosomal RNA, 253 nt
Filed under: uncultured bacterium
Lineage: Bacteria
Description: partial 16S ribosomal RNA
Rfam family: Bacterial small subunit ribosomal RNA
Source: RNAcentral